UACAGAGGGUGCAAGCGUUAAUCGGAAUGACUGGGCGUAAAGGGCGCGUAGGUGGAUGCGUAAGUAAAUUGUGAAAUACCCGGGCUUAACCUGGGGCGGUCAAUUUAAACGGCGUAUCUAGAGUGGAGUAGAGGGAAGUAGAAUUUCCGGUGUAGCGGUGAAAUGCGUAGAUAUCGGAAGGAAUACCGGUGGCGAAGGCGUCUUCCUGGACUCUAACUGACACUGAGGCGCGAAAGCAUGGGGAUCAAAC
RNAcentral lists this ribosomal RNA (250 nucleotides) under uncultured bacterium. RNAcentral describes it as "partial 16S ribosomal RNA". It matches the Rfam family "Bacterial small subunit ribosomal RNA", at positions 524 to 773 of the family's 1533-position model. The record is from RNAcentral.